Ceratocystis platani is the source of this 72-nucleotide transfer RNA. It matches the Rfam family "tRNA". Rfam says of the family: Transfer RNA (tRNA) molecules are approximately 80 nucleotides in length. Their secondary structure includes four short double-helical elements and three loops (D, anti-codon, and T loops). Further hydrogen bonds mediate the characteristic L-shaped molecular structure. tRNAs have two regions of fundamental functional importance: the anti-codon, which is responsible for specific mRNA codon recognition, and the 3' end, to which the tRNAs corresponding amino acid is attached (by aminoacyl-tRNA synthetases). tRNAs cope with the degeneracy of the genetic code in two manners: having more than one tRNA (with a specific anti-codon) for a particular amino acid; and 'wobble' base-pairing, i.e. permitting non-standard base-pairing at the 3rd anti-codon position. Lineage: Eukaryota; Fungi; Ascomycota; Sordariomycetes; Microascales; Ceratocystidaceae. The record is from Rfam.
UCCGAUAUGGUCUAACGGUUAGGAUACCUCGUUUUCACCGUGGGGGUCGGGGUUCGAUUCCCCGUAUCGGAG